RNAcentral lists this ribosomal RNA (780 nucleotides) under uncultured fungus. Its description in RNAcentral is "SSU rRNA". It matches the Rfam family "Eukaryotic small subunit ribosomal RNA", at positions 564 to 1351 of the family's 1831-position model. Lineage: Eukaryota; Fungi. The record is from RNAcentral.
GUGCCAGCAGCCGCGGUAAUUCCAGCUCCAAUAGCGUAUAUUAAAGUUGUUGUGGUUAAAAAGCUCGUAGUUGAACCUUGGGCCUGGCUGGCCGGUCCGCCUCACCGCGUGCACUGGUCCGGCCGGGCCUUUCCCUCUGUGGAACCCCAUACCCUUCACUGGGCGUGGCGGGGAAACAGGACAUUUACUUUGAAAAAAUUAGAGUGCUCCAGGCAGGCCUAUGCUCGAAUACAUUAGCAUGGAAUAAUAAAAUAGGACGCGCGGUUCUAUUUUGUUGGUUUAUAGGACCGCCGUAAUGAUUAAUAGGGACAGUCGGGGGCAUCAGUAUUCAACUGUCAGAGGUGAAAUUCUUGGAUCAGUUGAAGACUAACUACUGCGAAAGCAUUUGCCAAGGAUGUUUUCAUUAAUCAGGAACGAAAGUUAGGGGAUCGAAGACGAUCAGAUACCGUCGUAGUCUUAACCAUAAACUAUGCCGACUAGGGAUCGGACGGUGUUAUUCAUGACCCGUUCGGCACCUUACGAGAAAUCAAAGUGCUUGGGCUCCAGGGGGAGUAUGGUCGCAAGGCUGAAACUUAAAGAAAUUGACGGAAGGGCACCACCAGGGGUGGAGCCUGCGGCUUAAUUUGACUCAACACGGGGAAACUCACCAGGUCCAGACACAAUAAGGAUUGACAGAUUGAGAGCUCUUUUCUUGAUUUUGUGGUGGUGGUGCAUGGCCGUUCUUAGUUGGUGGGGUGACUUGUCUGCUUAAUUGCGAUAACGAACGAGACCUUAAUCCUG